GUCUGGGCCCAGAGAUUCAGUUCCCCUAACCAGGACUCCCUUCUCUCACAGCUUGUGGACUGGCGAGGGCUCGGAGAGUGGUGCUCCAAGUGCCCCACUUGCAUCAGGGCAUCAGGGAGCUGUGUGAGAGGCUGGACACCGUGGAGGACGGGCCUCUGCGUGAGGACCGUGCCGAAAUAGCGAAGGAUGUUUGCCAGUACCUACCCCAGGGACAGGCCAGGAGCUUCAUGGACUCCAUCACGAAGACCUUCUCGUGCACUAACCAGGAGCGUGCACGAGCAGCUGGCGACUGGCUGAUCGCAUUCCUGGAGACACGCGGAAACGAAAUAUACCCAGAGGUGCCUGAAUUCAUGAAGAUCCUGUGGGAGGCCAGGCGCACCGUGCAGCAGAGCCCCCUCAAGGACCUCUUCUUCAAGGCACUCUGUCUCCUGGCCGGCUUCCGCAGCCAGGCUGUGGUGGACACCCUCCUCCAGACAGAAUCGCCCUCAGAGAGAGACGAGCGGCUCUGGAGGAGCCUGGGCAGCAGCGACCUCGGGCCUAAGGUGCUGUAUCACUUAAUUUGGAGACUGAACGAGGCAUCUGAAGCCAGGUGUCGGCUCACGGUUGCUGCUCAACCGCUGGAUCCUUUCAAGCUCCUCUGUGCCAUCUGUGAGGUGAUGUCUGCUCUGCUGACCACGAGGGAAACCCGGGACGUGCUUCUUUGCCUCUUUUUCGCCCUCCUGAAGCGGGUCAGCAUUGAACUGGGGACACUGGUGCUGUUUCCCCCCCUGAGUCUUCCGGCAGAAAUCUUCAAGGAAACGGAAGAAGAGGAGCUGGUGUGCGGACCCUACAGUGCUGCUCUGGAACAAGUGCUGGGAAGACUCCUGGACGAGAGGUGGCAGCGGGUGCUCUGCAAUCAUCGAGUGUGGCCGUCCCUGGACGUGCCUCAGUGGCACUGCAACGCCGUGCAGCUCCUGACCAGAGUGCUGCUCCAUGCCCAGCUCGUCUCACGUUUGCUGAUAAACAGCUUCAUGCUGUGGCUGCACUCCCCCUCGCAAAACCUGCAACUCACGGCGCUGGCUUUAUUCGCAGAGGUAAGGCGGCGCGUGGGGAAGGGCGGGCUCAGAGGGCUUUUCCAAAGAAACUGCUGCUUGGGGUGUCUCUUCAUGGAAGAGACCGGCCCAGGUCCCUUCUCGGCACUGACAGAGCUUUGGCUGUCUUGUAGGUGGUGAAGGACCCGCCAGCUGAGGGGAAGCAUCUCCUGAAGCCCCUGGUGUGGGUCUUCCUGGAGAAGCUGAAGAGUCCGAGCCGUGCUGUGAAGCAGAUGGCAGCGAGAGGCCUGGGCCGUGCUGUCAGUGGCUUGCCCAAGAAGGUGAGGUGCACUUCCCUCUGCUCUGGCUGCAGCCCCCCAGCAGAGAGCCGGGCAGGGCUGCAGGGCAGUUGGGGAGCCUGGGGCAGAGCAGCACAGGCAGAUGGGGGCUUCCCAACAGCCAGGCUGCUCUCCAAGCUCAGCACGCAGCCUGCGGGGAAACCUCUUGCCAAACGUGCCAGUGCCGUUCGUCACGGGGUUGUGCCGCAGC
Molecule: long non-coding RNA, 1559 nt
Filed under: Anas platyrhynchos platyrhynchos (common mallard)
Lineage: Eukaryota; Metazoa; Chordata; Aves; Anseriformes; Anatidae
Description: lncRNA (ENSAPLG00000019204.1)
Source: RNAcentral